UUCCCCUAGUAACGAGCGAGUGAACCGGGAAGAGCUCAAAUUUGAAAUCUGGCGUCCUUCGGGCGUCCGAGUUGUAAUCUAUAGAAACGUUUUCCGUGCCGGACCGUGUCCAAGUCCCUUGGAACAGGGUAUCAGAGAGGGUGACAAUCCCGUACUUGACACGACGACCGGUGCUCUGUGAUACGUUCUCUACGAGUCGAGUUGUUUGGGAAUGCAGCUCAAAAUGGGUGGUAAACUCCAUCUAAAGCUAAAUAUUGGUGGGAGACCGAUAGCGAACAAGUACCGUGAGGGAAAGAUGAAAAGCACUUUGGAAAGAGAGUUAAACAGUAUGUGAAAUUGUUGAAAGGGAAACGAUUGAAGUCAGUCGUGACCGUUGGGUUCAGCCGGUUCUGCCGGUCUACUCCCUUCGGUCGGGUCAACAUCGGUUUUGACCGGCGGAUAAGGAAGGGAGGAAUGUGGCACCCUCCGGGGUGUGUUAUAGCCUCUCGUCGCAUACGUCGGUCGAGACCGAGGAACGCAGCUCGCCUUUAUGGCCGGGGUUCGCCCACGUCCGAGCUUAGGAUGUUGACAUAAUGGCUUUAAACGACCCGUCUUGAAACACGGACCA
This 607-nucleotide ribosomal RNA is filed under the name Kwoniella heveanensis. Its description in RNAcentral is "partial large subunit ribosomal RNA". It matches the Rfam family "Eukaryotic large subunit ribosomal RNA", at positions 75 to 668 of the family's 3401-position model. The record is from RNAcentral. Lineage: Eukaryota; Fungi; Basidiomycota; Tremellomycetes; Tremellales; Cryptococcaceae.